UGGGGAAUUUUGGACAAUGGGCGAAAGCCUGAUCCAGCAAUGCCGCGUGUGUGAAGAAGGCCUUCGGGUUGUAAAGCACUUUUGUCCGGAAAGAAAUCCUUGGCUCUAAUACAGUCGGGGGAUGACGGUACCGGAAGAAUAAGCACCGGCUAACUACGUGCCAGCAGCCGCGGUAAUACGUAGGGUGCAAGCGUUAAUCGGAAUUACUGGGUGUAAAGCGUGCGCAGGCGGUUUGCUAAGACCGAUGUGAAAUCCCCGGGCUCAACCUGGGAACUGCAUUGGUGACUGGCAGGCUAGAGUAUGGCAGAGGGGGGUAGAAUUCCACGUGUAGCAGUGAAAUGCGUAGAGAUGUGGAGGAAUACCGAUGGCGAAGGCAGCCCCCUGGGCCAAAUACUGACGCUCAUGCACGAAAAGCGUGGGGGAGCAAAACAGGGGUUAGAUACCCUGGUAGUCCACGCCCUAAACGAUGUCAACUAGUUGUUGGGGACUUCAUUUCCUUAGUAACGUAGCUAACGCGUGAAGUUGACCGCCUGGGGGAGUACGGUCGCAAGAUUAAAACUCAAAUGAAUUGACGGGGUCAUAGCUGUUUCC
Molecule: ribosomal RNA, 591 nt
Filed under: uncultured bacterium
Lineage: Bacteria
Description: partial 16S ribosomal RNA
Rfam family: Bacterial small subunit ribosomal RNA
Source: RNAcentral